Molecule: ribosomal RNA, 117 nt
Filed under: Sinocyclocheilus rhinocerous
Lineage: Eukaryota; Metazoa; Chordata; Actinopteri; Cypriniformes; Cyprinidae
Source: RNAcentral
GACCACAGCCAUAUCACCCUGCAGCCCAAGACUGGUUGCCCACUGAAGCUAAGCAGGAUUGAGCCUGGUCAGUACCUGGAUGGGAGACCUCCUGGGAAAACUAGGUUGCUGUUGGAA